Long non-coding RNA from Musa acuminata subsp. malaccensis (wild Malaysian banana), 615 nucleotides. RefSeq lists it as uncharacterized. The record is from RefSeq and is a predicted model, not a curated record. Lineage: Eukaryota; Viridiplantae; Streptophyta; Magnoliopsida; Zingiberales; Musaceae.
GUGUUGCGGGAGUUGGCUUCGGCUUUCGGAGAUUAAAAGCUUUGAACUUGUUCGCGGAGCAGCACCGCCGCGUAGGCUACCAACCGCCGUCAGCAGCCUUAGGCAGGUACACAACCGGGUAACUGGCAGCUCUUAGAUUGUUCUGGACUGUUGUAUGGUGAACUCGUACACUGAGUGAUGCCCGAAAGAAACAGCAACUGGGACCGGAUGAAGUCUUUGGCAUCGAUGGAGGUCCAAAAGUUCCUACUUGGUCUUUUGAGAGUGUCUGGGAAGAUGAUUUUAAGCGAGCCAGUUUAGUCAGACAUGGAAGUCAGUGGCAGAUACUCCUAUCACUCGUCAAGCCUUUCGAUGACCUAAGAAGAAAAAGGAGAAGAGAUAUACAUCAGGGAAAAGCCAAAAUAUAUGCAGGACUUGAUAGUUCAUCAGGCUCAGUAAAAGGAUACAUAGCUUCAUUUCAACUCGUCUCAAUUUGUCUCUUUAACACUUUGGUUUGGCUGUGAUUGGAAAUGAAGUAUAAGGUGUAUAGUGUUUGUUUAUUGACAAGAUGAUAGAAGCACUAUUUUCUUGGUAGAACUUUGUAUCUUUGAAACCUAUCAUGAGGGACAAUUCUGCUCU